CGCGAACGCAAAAACCUGUAAGUUUUGGUUAAACAUGAACAAUUAACAGCUACGCGAACGAACCUAUUAUCGUUUAAGCACAAUAAACAGUUAAGAGCGCUAUGGAGCAAGAACAACAAAUGCGGCCACCAAAGAUGAUGGGAUGCUUUUGUGAAGGAAUUUGUUUUGGUUUGUGACCAGGACAAUAUCUAUGGAUAAACAUAACACCGAUAUUAGUCGUUGUUGGUGACGUUGUUUUAGAUUUAGACAGCUUAAAGAAAGAUUUACCUCGUAGCUAGUGGUUUGACAAAUUCGAUUUCCACCAUCUUCACUCGCGUCCACAGAGAAAAAGUAUUCAAACUGUUGAAUUUGUCGCAAUUAAAUUAUACUUGCAAACAUCAUCGUGUUAUCUCAUAGUGCCGGAGUAAUAACAUGCCUGUUCAUGAAUUUAGAGUGUUAAUGACCUGUUCAAAAUGUGCCAACGGCGUGGAGCGUGUUUUAAACAAGUUAGGCGAUAAGUGGAGUUGAGCGAGACAAUGAUGGCAACGAGCGAUAUGUGUACAAUAAGCUCCAAAGUGUUUCCUCUUUUUUAUUGGUAUCAGUGUGUAUUAUAAAUACAUUAAUUGGGCUUACAAAUUAAUGUACAUACGUCCAAGACAAAUUAUUUGCAAGUAUUACAAAUGUGAAAAUUAGUAUGCCUUAUGCGUGUGUAAAAUACUUGUACGGAAUUGUACAAAGUUGUUAGCCAAGGCUUGUUUUUUAAAAAGUGUUAAGUAAUUAUUAAUGUUAAUGUGUAUUAAAAGAAAGGUAAUUCAAUUGAUUUUCUUCCUGUUAUAAAAUCUUUUCAACAUAUAAAAUUUGUUUGUAAAAAUUUUCAAAUUUUGAGUAUGCCUUAUGCGAGUGUAAGAUACUCGUACGGAAUUGUACAAAGUUGUUAGCCAAGGCUUGUUUUUUAAAAAGUGUUAAGUAAUUAUUAAUGUUAAUGUGUAUUAAAAGAAAGGUAAUUCAAUUGGUUUUCUUCGUGUAAUAAAAUCUUUUGAACAAAUAAAAUUAGUUUGUAAAAAUUUUAAAAUUUUGAGCAUGCCUUAUGUGAGUGUAAGAUACUCAUACGGAAUUGUACAAAGUUGUUAACCAAGGCUUGGUUUUUAAGUGUUUUGUAAUUAUUAUUAUUAAUGUAUAUUGAAAGAAGGGUAAUUCAAUUACCUUCUUUCUGUUAUAGGGUCUUUGAAUAAAUUAAACUUUUUUGUAAAAAUCCACAAUUUUUGUAUAGUGGCUUAUUCGAGUGCAAAACACACGGGACCUUAUGAAUAUCAGCUAAGCAAGUUUUUUCCUAAAAUUUCAGAUCUUUU
Long non-coding RNA from Rhagoletis pomonella (apple maggot), 1328 nucleotides. RefSeq lists it as uncharacterized. The transcript has 4 exons. The record is from RefSeq and is a predicted model, not a curated record. NCBI's taxonomy places the organism in Eukaryota, Metazoa, Arthropoda, Insecta, Diptera, Tephritidae.